RNAcentral lists this small RNA (796 nucleotides) under Cryptococcus neoformans H99. Its description in RNAcentral is "Cryptococcus neoformans var. grubii H99 hypothetical RNA". Lineage: Eukaryota; Fungi; Basidiomycota; Tremellomycetes; Tremellales; Cryptococcaceae. The record is from RNAcentral.
AUACCGCUCCAUAUAAGUGAAUCUAGGCCUUUUGGUGACUGUUCAUUGCUGCAAAAUGCGAAAACACACAGCAUCAAAGGAAAACACAAAAACCAUUGCUCAUGAAUUGUGGAGCAAUACCGUCAACGAAAAAGCAAGCAAAUGUACUCCAUCACGCCUGGAUCCAUCUCCAGAAAGAUCUCAGUACUUUCGACGGUCAGCUUCUCACACAUGAUGUUAGCUAUGCAAGGGAUGUAGACGGAUGUUCAGUCGAUGGGCAGCAGGCGGAUAGAUGAGCAGAUAGUAGGAUAUCAACCGCGAACAAGGACAUGAAAUUUGGCAGUCGAUCUUCGAGUAUGAGUGAAUGACGAAUUGUCAAUGUGAGCAUAAGCUGUAUCACGGAAAUCUGGAGGAUUUCAUUUGUUUUGAGGUAGGCGAUGUAGAUAAUCCCAGUCAUAAUAAGUGAGUGACCCCUUGGGGGAUGUGGUGUGAUGAGUUCUCCAUGAUGUUAACUCAUAUUCCGUACUUUCACCCAUGAUUCCCUCAUCAAUUCCUGUUAUUCAUAACGAUAUAUCUUUUGAUAGCUGCUUAAUGUUGUCGCCUUUCUCACAGAAGUCGUUGCAAAUUUCGGAAAUAAUAACCGUUACAAGCCUCGACUCCGCCAAGCCUUCCUUUCAAUCUUCAAACGGAAGUCAGGAAUAACUUCUUCCAGAAGGGCACGGGCUGAGUGUAAGGUGAUGUGUGUUGCGGCGGCAGCCAGAGGCAAGCAGUCUCUGUCGAAAACGGAAAUUAUUAAUAUCGAUAUGCAAAAGUGGAA